Molecule: unclassified non-coding RNA, 336 nt
Filed under: soil metagenome
Description: partial contains 5.8S ribosomal RNA, internal transcribed spacer 2, and large subunit ribosomal RNA
Rfam family: 5.8S ribosomal RNA (bases 2-120)
Source: RNAcentral
UAUGAAGAACGUAGCAAAAUGCGAUAAGUAAUGUGAAUUGCAGAAUUCAGUGAAUCAUCGAAUCUUUGAACGCACAUUGCGCCCGCCAGUAUUCUGGCGGGCAUGCCUGUUCGAGCGUCAUUUCAACCAUCAAGCCCCAGGCUUGUGUUGGGGACCUGCGGCUGCCGCAGGCCCUGAAAACCAGUGGCGGGCUCGCUGUCACACCGGGCGUAGUAGAUUUUAUCUCGCUCAGGGCGUGCUGCGGGUUCCGGCCGUUAAAAAGCCUUUUUUACCCAAGGUUGACCUCGGAUCAGGUAGGAAGACCCGCUGAACUUAAGCAUAUCAAUAAGCGGAGGA